RNAcentral lists this ribosomal RNA (717 nucleotides) under fungal endophyte. RNAcentral's name for it is "eukaryotic LSU rRNA". The stretch from base 487 to 717 matches the Rfam family "Eukaryotic large subunit ribosomal RNA", at positions 1 to 228 of the family's 3401-position model. The record is from RNAcentral. Lineage: Eukaryota; Fungi.
UUACACAAAUAUGAAGGCGGGCUGGAACCUCUCGGGGUUACAGCCUUGCUGAAUUAUUCACCCUUGUCUUUUGCGUACUUCUUGUUUCCUUGGUGGGUUCGCCCACCACUAGGACAAACAUAAACCUUUUGUAAUUGCAAUCAGCGUCAGUAACAAAUUAAUAAUUACAACUUUCAACAACGGAUCUCUUGGUUCUGGCAUCGAUGAAGAACGCAGCGAAAUGCGAUAAGUAGUGUGAAUUGCAGAAUUCAGUGAAUCAUCGAAUCUUUGAACGCACAUUGCGCCCUUUGGUAUUCCAAAGGGCAUGCCUGUUCGAGCGUCAUUUGUACCCUCAAGCUUUGCUUGGUGUUGGGCGUCUUGUCUCUAGCUUUGCUGGAGACUCGCCUUAAAGUAAUUGGCAGCCGGCCUACUGGUUUCGGAGCGCAGCACAAGUCGCACUCUCUAUCAGCAAAGGUCUAGCAUCCAUUAAGCCUUUUUUUCAACUUUUGACCUCGGAUCAGGUAGGGAUACCCGCUGAACUUAAGCAUAUCAAUAAGCGGAGGAAAAGAAACCAACAGGGAUUGCCCUAGUAACGGCGAGUGAAGCGGCAACAGCUCAAAUUUGAAAUCUGGCUCUUUUAGAGUCCGAGUUGUAAUUUGCAGAGGGCGCUUUGGCUUUGGCAGCGGUCCAAGUUCCUUGGAAACAGGACGUCACAGAGGGUGAGAAUCCCGUACGUGG